UAUCAAUACUUUAUUUUUUCCUCCAGCUCCAGUGAUACAACUGUAGCAGCAUUUUGAGAAACAAAACAUCCCACACACCAAUGCACACUCCUUCCCCCCGCCCCCCAAUCUGCCCCAUUCCUUCUUCAAACAGCAGAUUUAACAAUCAGAAAAGAGGGUCGGACAAUAUUUGAUACAAACUACAGGCAGCCAUCACAAUGUUUUAAUUUUUAAACAAUACUCUUGCUCCCUUAAAAAAAAAUUACAUUUUGUGUUCUUGCACUUCAGAAGCAGCAAACACAUUUGGAUUUCACAGGCCAAACAGAAUCCAAGUCAUGCUUUCCCCUCACCCCCAGUCAAACACAGUGGUCCCGGGCAGGACGGGCAGCCUCCCAGAGGGAAAGCUGGACCCGUGUGGUUUCUAGCAUUGUACGAUGAAAGUGAGAGAUUGAAAAGCGGGCAAGUUAGCCGGCAGUUAAGUUGGAAUUGGGGUAAGCGGGGAGGAAGAAUCAAGUUCUGAAGGUUUAUCCUGUCCAUUGCAAUUGAUUUUAGGAAGGUAGAACCCUGGACUUCGCUCCUUCAAACCAGAAAUCAAGGCACAGGACAACAGAUUUUGCCGAGCAUAAGCCCAGGGCCCUCUGUGCUCUUCAAGGUUAAGUGAUGGACUUCAGGCCCCAAGAGAAGACAAGAUUUCAUUUCUGGCUUGGAAUUCCCGCAUCCAGUAGGCACUUUAGCUGCUUAAUGAAUCAAGGCAAAGUAAGGUGAGCUCGGGACCUGAAAAGCAAGUCCCUUCCCUAAAGAGCCUCGCCUAGACAAGCGGGCAUUCCAGUUUGUAAAUACCACUUGAGGCGAAAGUUUGAGGAGGGAUAGGAAACAGCUGGAAGGUAGAGGAAGACAAGGGGAAAGGAGGAGGAGGAGGAGGAGAAACUAUUUUAGAAAAUAAAUUAAUCCUGGCUCUAGAUUGUGCAGAUUCUACCCUUCCGCUGCCCACUUCCCCCAUGCCCGUGAUGCCCAACAUGGCAUGGGCGAAACACGCCUGGUACAACCCGUCUGAUGGCCCAGCCCACGUGAGCUCUGCCAAGGCUGGCACAAGUUAUCUGGAUCUAACAACAAGGUCACACAGAUUGGUCUGAGGGCCCUCUCCCACCUCCAUAAAUGAAUGAAUUCCAGACAGAUCUAACUGGUUGGCUUCAGAGGAAAAGCCCCUGGCAUCACCAAGCCAAGAUUGCCAUCCCUUGCCUGAAGCCUACUCACACCUCCCUGGCGCUGUUUCUCAAAAAGCCCUAAAAAUCAGCCCCACUUCCAGGUCAGAACUCAGAGGCACCCUGGCCAAGGACAAGUGACUGGUGGCCAUCUCUGGGGCCCUUUCAGAGUCUCUGCCAGGAGAAAUGCCCAGUGCCUGAGACUUACAGGCGCUUGGGCAAGGAGAAGAGGGGCAAAUUAGUCUUUUCAGGUCUGGCAGCUAGCAACGGGUUGGAAAAAAACAGGUUUGUAUUUUUUUUUUUAAGGAGAUUGUCAUUCAAGACACACUACAAAACUUAGAAGGGCUCUAUCUAAGUCAUUUGUAAUCUAAGUGCUAAAAAACCAUCUCAAAGAUCUUGUCCCUCUCUGAAACUCAAAUUCUUCCUCAUCAUCUAUGAAGCUGAUCCCCCCAAAUACACACACACACACACACACACACACAGAGGACACAGACAUGCUUUUCUGGCACCUCCUCCUAGGCAUGGAAGAGCAGAGAUGAGCUUUAGCAAGGUGGUUCUCAUCCCUCCUCACAGCGGCUGAAGGAUCAAGACCCUAAGAAUUACCACAGGGAAAAUGAUCUGAAAAUGAAGGGUCGGGGAGAGAACAAGAAGCUGCUCUGCCCAUGUGCCCCACAGCCACACCUCUGUACUAGAAACAAUCCACCUCAGCCGGU
This 1894-nucleotide long non-coding RNA is filed under the name Sarcophilus harrisii (Tasmanian devil). RNAcentral describes it as "lncRNA (ENSSHAG00000028314.1)". Lineage: Eukaryota; Metazoa; Chordata; Mammalia; Dasyuromorphia; Dasyuridae. The record is from RNAcentral.